This 490-nucleotide ribosomal RNA is filed under the name Escherichia coli. RNAcentral describes it as "bacterial SSU rRNA". It matches the Rfam family "Bacterial small subunit ribosomal RNA", at positions 1 to 480 of the family's 1533-position model. Lineage: Bacteria; Pseudomonadati; Pseudomonadota; Gammaproteobacteria; Enterobacterales; Enterobacteriaceae. The record is from RNAcentral.
AAAUUGAAGAGUUUGAUCAUGGCUCAGAUUGAACGCUGGCGGCAGGCCUAACACAUGCAAGUCGAACGGUAACAGGAAGCAGCUUGCUGCUUUGCUGACGAGUGGCGGACGGGUGAGUAAUGUCUGGGAAACUGCCUGAUGGAGGGGGAUAACUACUGGAAACGGUAGCUAAUACCGCAUAACGUCGCAAGACCAAAGAGGGGGACCUUCGGGCCUCUUGCCAUCGGAUGUGCCCAGAUGGGAUUAGCUAGUAGGUGGGGUAACGGCUCACCUAGGCGACGAUCCCUAGCUGGUCUGAGAGGAUGACCAGCCACACUGGAACUGAGACACGGUCCAGACUCCUACGGGAGGCAGCAGUGGGGAAUAUUGCACAAUGGGCGCAAGCCUGAUGCAGCCAUGCCGCGUGUAUGAAGAAGGCCUUCGGGUUGUAAAGUACUUUCAGCGGGGAGGAAGGGAGUAAAGUUAAUACCUUUGCUCAUUGACGUUACCC